Molecule: ribosomal RNA, 253 nt
Filed under: uncultured bacterium
Lineage: Bacteria
Description: partial 16S ribosomal RNA
Rfam family: Bacterial small subunit ribosomal RNA
Source: RNAcentral
GACGAACCGUGCGAACGUUGUUCGGAUUCACUGGGCUUAAAGGGCGCGUAGGCGGACUCGCCAGUCUGUGGUGAAAGCCCCCAGCUUAACUGGGGAAGUGCCGUGGAUACUGCGAGUCUGGAGGAGGGUAGGGGCAUCUGGAACGCUGGGUGGAGCGGUGAAAUGCGUUGAUAUCCAGCGGAACUCCGGUGGCGAAGGCGGCUACCUGGACCAGCACUGACACUGAAGCACGAAAGCGUGGGGAGCAAACAGG